CUUUAUAAGUGUACUCUCUAUGUCAUUAUCUAAAUCACUGAUGAAGAUAUUGAACAGAACCUGACCCAGAACUGAUCCCUGCAGGAUCCCACUCAUUAUGCCCUUCCAGCUUGACAGUGAACCACUGUUAACUACUCUCCGGCAUGGGUGGUGGAUGAACUCCCCCUUUGGGGAGGGUAACCCGCCGGCCCUGCCCCUUCUGCCCGAGCCCUGAGGCUCCCCCCCUCUCCUACGGAUGGAGGAGCCCCGGCCUACCCACCCUAGCCACCCUAAGCUGCCAGUUGGCCCACUCCAGCCAGCCCCAGCACCAGGCCUGUCCAAGACUCUGGCCCAACCCCCAGGCCAGCUGCAGCACCUCACCGGGCCUCCCUGAGCUCCCCAGGCAACCGGCUGGAGCUGAGCCUCCACUGGCUUCAGGGAAGAGAGGAGGGGCCUGGGGGUGGAACAUGGGCAAGGCCACAGCCUUGGUCAGGGGAGGCUUAGCCUGCCCUGGCCUUUGAUAUCUGCCACCCAUGCUCUCUAGGAAUGGUUUUCCAACCAGUUAUGCACCCACCUAGUUCCGUCUAGGUUGCAUUUCCCUGUUUGUUUAUGAAAAGGUCAUGCGAGACCGUAUCAAAAGCUUUACUAAAGUCAAGAUAUACUAUGUCUAUCACUUUCCUGCUAUCCACAAAGCUUGUGACCCUGUCAAAGAAAGCUAUCAACUGGGUUUGACCUGAUUUGUUCUUGACAAAUCCAUGCUGACUGUUACUUAUGACCUUAUUAUCUUCUAGAUGUUUGCAAAUUGAUUGCUUAAUUAUUUGCUCCAUUAUCUUUCCAGGUACAAAAGUUAAGAUAACUGGUCUGUAAUUCCCCAGGUUGUCCUUAUUUCCCUUUUUAUAGAUGGGCACUAUAUUUGCCCUUUUCCAGUCUCCCUUCUAUUCAGAUUAAGUUUUGUAUUUCCUAAUUUCAUCCUUUCUGUCUCAGAGAUCUUAGCUGUUUUGCUAAAUAACUCUGUACUAAAUUACAUGAUAGGAAUUAUAUAAUAAACCAUUUCUCUUCCUUCUGGGUGUCUGUUGUCUUUGCUCUUUACACAACAUUAAGAAUAUGUGGAAAGUAUGUGACACAAUUAGAUUCCAAAUAACCAUGUUUGCUAUCUGUAUAAAACAUAGAAAACACAGCUACUUCUAUACACUGCUGCUGUGUUAGGUUCUAGUGGCUUCUGCCAUAGAAGAGGUCACGUAGAGGCUCAUUAGAGGGCUCCCAGAUUAUUUAAAGGGAUACUACCCAAAUCAUAUACAAUGCUUAUAGCCUUCCAUUAUUUCUACUAGUAUGUUCCUCGUUAGUUGUCACUCUAAAUCAGUGUAGUUGGCUCCAAAAGUUGUAAUAAAAGUUGGCCAAGUAUGAUUAGAACUUCAAGCCAUACUGACAGUGUGUCACAAGAGGGCAGCACUGGAAAUCAGUGAAGGCUUUCUGAAUAGGUUUAAAACAAGAAGAUAAUACUAGUAGUGAAUAGAGAAAAAUAUAAUGAAUUUUGCCAUUUUGCUGGGUUGGUGACAGGGCAAAAAAUACCAGAUUUUUUAUCCUGUGUUGGACCAACUCUCCAUGCACACUCUGUGUGGUCUCUUGUACUCAGCAUCUUACUUGCUGUGGAACCCCUUGCUGUCCUCCCUCAAGUGCUUACUCUGAAUAUUUUCUUUACUGCUGCUGGAACCAUCAUCACUGGUCAUAGGACUUGAUGAUUUACAGGGCACUGAUAGCCAUAAUACUGAACUAAUAUUUCUUACAUAUCAAAUUUUUUGGAGAAGAUCCAUGAGCUAAGUGAGGGAGGAGAUAAGAAUGUGGGGAAAAACAGGCGGACUCUUCAGUGCUGACUGGACAUUUAAAAAGAUUGGGAGUGAAAACUAAAAUUAGAUAAAACAUUGGUUGGGCAACAGCUUAUUUUGCUGUUCCUGUUCCGUGAAGGGAACUUGUUCAAGCUCAGUAGUUUCCUAAUGCUGGUCAUAAAUGAAUAAAGCAAAAAUAAGUCUCAUCCAUUAAAGUCAGUGUGGACUAGUGAAUGGGCAUGGGCAGGGAGCCAGAAGACUUGGGUUCUACUCUCAGUUCAGCUAUGAAUGCCUGUGGGAUCUUAGCCAAGUCACUUAACCACUCUGUGGCUCAGUUUCCCCUUAUUUAAAAUGAAGAUGAUAUUAUUUACUCAUCUGCAACCCAGGGAGUCACUCAAUACCAACUGGCAGAGGGCACAUCAUACCGUAACUCACUUCAGGCCUGACACUCAUUGUCCCAACACACUGUUGCCAUCAUCUGUAUCCAAAAGGUGCUAUGUAAGGUAUCAUCUGCUAGCCAGUAACACACUGGUCAGUAAUAUUAUUGUAUGCUGUAUAUAAAGAUGAUGUAUAAACAGUUUUAGAUGUGUUGCUGGAACUAUGUUCUCAAAAGGUGUUUUGCAAGCAAUGCACAACCCCAACCUGUCUUAGUCAAAGGAAUGUUGUUUCACCUGUUUUUCUGUGUCUCUAGUGUAAACUGAGCCAGGUAACACCUCAGGACAAUGAAAAGUACAUCUACAUACAAGGGAAACAAAGCCAUCAAGCUAAAUGAGUGGGGCUGAGGGUGGAGGGAAGACCAUUUAACUAUCAUGACAGGGGAUGGAGUCUGCACUUCCCAGGAAGUCUUCCUGGCUUUUGAAACAGAGACAGUAGACUUUGGGAAAUAUAAGCAGAAGCAGAAAGCCAUUUGGUAUGCAUCACUAGGGGAUAAAGGGAGAGCAACACCCUUUGAGUUCAUGAAAAAUGAAUCCUCCUAGCCUGAAAACCAAGAGUAGCUGGAACUGACUGUAGGUGAGAAAAUUGCUUAGAUAAAGAUUGUAACUUGCUGAAGUUAAGUUUUAGUCACUAGAAAGUGUAAUUGUUUUUGUUUUACUUGUAGCCAUAUCUAUGUCUUCUAUUCUUUCUUAUUAUCUCUUAUACUCUGUUCUUUGUUAAUAAACUUAUUCUUGUUUGACUGCAAAACCAUCUCAGUGCUGUUACUCUUGGGGGAAUUCUGCGCAAUGCAGAGUUUGCACAGAAAUUAAUGUUCUGUGCAGAAUUUCCUUUUCCCACCACAGAAAUGGGCUGCUGAGCUGCUGGCUGCCACUAGAUUUGGCAGAGCCCAGCUCCAAAAUAGAAGACACUGUGAAGAGAAGGGGGACAGAGCUGGAGGAUUCUGGGCAGUUGCAACUCCUGGCAUGCUCUGAAGGAAGGAGGUGGCAAGCAGGAAACUCCACACAAGCCCAGGACCAAGCAUCAGGUUGUUUGUCCCUCUGAAUCCCUGAGCUCUAGCAGCAGAAAACUUGAUAACUUCUGUGAGAGGGACUGGAAACUGCAGAGUGAGAUGGUUUUGGGGAGACUCAGGACUGGAAGAGCUGUUGGUGUCAUCCUGCAAGGAGUAACCAGGCUGGGGGAACCUAGGAUGAGGCCAUUAUGCUGAUGAAAGCUACUUGCAUCAGGGCUCUGAGCCAAAGCUGCACAGCGUAGAAGCAAUCUGGGUUACAGGGCAGGCAGUGGUGAACUCCCAAAGCGUCACAUUGGCAUAGUCCAACAGGAUUUACUGUUUACUACUUGCUAUUUGGCUCACACUCAAACCACAGUUGCCAACUUUCAUGUGGUAAAUAAGCACCCCGACUUUCACAAUAAGCCAAAAAUCAAGCUAAUACCAUUUCAAAACAAGGCCAAAGCAAGCCAAUCCCUAAGAACCCCAGCACUCUAUGUGACUAGAUCCCCCCCCUCCCCACAGUCUGGGACUGUGGUGGGCCUGCUGUGCACCCCUGACUCUCUUCCCCCUCUUGCCCCUGCUUGCCCCUUGUCUCUGCUUGCUCGGAGCGGAUCAAAAAGAAAGAAGUAACAAGCUGCAACAAGCCAAAAACUAGCCAACAAGAAACUCACAAGCCAAUUAAACCAAAAACAAGCCCAAUUUCUGCAAUUUUUUUUGUGGGUUUGGCAUGUCUGACUCAAACCACUGAUUUACUAGAUUUUUAAGCGAUUUUUCAAAUGAGACGGCUGAGUGGAGUCAAAGAAAGUUUACAGAUUAAUUGUUUUUUGUUUGUUUAUUUUGGGCAAGGAACUAGAACAAAAGGCAUUUUAAAAUGAGCAGCAGCAAAAUAACCACAAAGUUAGAACUAGACAGAUUGGAGGCCGAUCAGAAAGAGAAAGAAUGCGAAGCUGCAAAAGCAGCUCAUGAUCACCAAAAAUGGGAAGCCAAAUAGCAAGAUAAACAAAACCAAAUAAGAGAAGCAGACCAGAGAGCCAAUAAAGCUGACCUGAGAGACGAGGAGAGGGAGGCAGAAAAGCAACAACAGGAGGAAGCACACCAGUGAACCAUGGAACUAAAAAAAGAAAGAAGCCCAAGAAAGGGGGAGAGAGAGAGAGACUGUAUAACCUGGAUAUGAUGGAUAAAUAUGGACACAACCCACAAGUACUCUCUCUUCCUCAGGAAUAGCCUGAUGGGACAAGCUAUGCCCUGCAUACAAAAAAUCAGAUUGAACUGAGGAAUACCUUACAACUUUUGAAAGAUUCUGUGUGUUGCAUAAGGUCCCAGAAGACAAGAAAUUCCCCACGCUGGUGAAAAGGCUUUUGGAUAAAGCAUUGAUUGUAUUUAAUGAAAUGCCAGUUGAAUAGGUUUGAAAUACAAUGAAUUUGAAAAGGCUGUAUUGCAAAGGUUUCAAAUCACCCUUGAAGUGUACAGGGUGAGAUUUAGAAACUCAAAAAGGAUGUUAAUAUGAGUUGUAGAGAAUAUAUGUAUGAUUUGAUGAGGAAAUGGGCAGAAGGAAAAGGGGCAGAGAAUUACGACCAGUUAUUUGAACUUUUUGCAUAAGAGCAUUUUCUAAGUGUACGUAUGCUCUGAUGAAAUCAGAGCUGCUCUUUGAGAUAAAUCGCUAAUGUCUGUGCAAGAGGCUGCUGAUCUGGCUGAUUCCUAAGCACAAGACAGUUUCCAGUGAGCACAAGCCUCCAAGUGAAGGGCAGAGGGAGGAAAGUGGGAGGGUUGAGCCCAGGCACUCACCUCCACAGAACCGAUGCCCUCCUGGAAAUCACAUUUGCAGACCUAUGUCAUAGGAGAACGGACCCAGAAAGUAUUUCACAUGUAAUUCCACCAAGCACCUGAGGGACAAUUGCCCUAAACAAAGGGAAUCUAAGCCUACAACCAUCCAGCCACAGCCCAGAUUAAUGCAGCUGUUGUAAACACAGGACCCACAGAGGUGCCUGAAACAUUCCUGAUAAUCUUUGUAAGGUCCGGCCCUUUGAAGGUUGCUGCUGAGUUUAUUAAAGUUGUCACAGUGAAUGGCAAAGAAUGCCUAGAGUGGAGAGACAUUGGUGCCCAGAUCUCUCUGGUUAGCGAGAGCAUGGUCAGGAAGACUGACAGGCUGCAGGGAGAAAGUGUAGAGCUCCUGGCAUUGGGAAGCUGUAAAACCAGUGUGCCUUUAGCUAAAGUGCAUUUGGAGUGGGAAGGUGUGGAAGCCAUUUUAAAUGUUGGUGUGUUGGAUUGAAUUCCAGCAGAAAUACCCAUAGGAAAUGAUGUAUUAACUAUGUCUAAAGUCGUUUAAUACAAACUUGCUCUUUUCUGAAUGUUGGCAGAAUGAAAGGCUGUCUUGGAAACACCUGAAACUGGGCUGCUUGAUAAAAAGGAGUAAUAAGAAGAUAAAACUUCUGAUGCCAGAAGUAGUCACAGAUUUGAUCCUGUGAGAAAUUUUAACCAUUUUUCACCAGUGGCUCAACAGCCUUCUGCAAGAAAAUGAUGAAAUUCUGCCCUGUUGGAAAAAUCAAGAGUUGUGUACAUUUGACCUUGGCAGAAAAGUCAAUGUUUUACAAAGAAAACAUUUUGUUGUUGUUGUUUGUCAAAAUUACAGUUCUCUGCUUGUG
Molecule: long non-coding RNA, 5867 nt
Organism: Chelonia mydas (Green sea turtle)
Lineage: Eukaryota; Metazoa; Chordata; Testudines; Cheloniidae
Exons: 2
Source: RefSeq, a predicted model, not a curated record